GGUAGUGUAUGCAAGCGGACAAAGCAGGCUGACUGUAAAUCAGUGACUUCGGUUUCGUGGGUUCGAAUCCCUCCUCUACCA
RNAcentral lists this transfer RNA (81 nucleotides) under Enterococcus sp. RNAcentral's name for it is "tRNA-Tyr". It matches the Rfam family "tRNA". From Rfam's summary of the family: Transfer RNA (tRNA) molecules are approximately 80 nucleotides in length. Their secondary structure includes four short double-helical elements and three loops (D, anti-codon, and T loops). The record is from RNAcentral. Lineage: Bacteria; Bacillati; Bacillota; Bacilli; Lactobacillales; Enterococcaceae.